CCUACGGGAGGCAGCAGUAGGGAAUAUUGCUCAAUGGGGGAAACCCUGAAGCAGCAACGCCGCGUGGGGGAUGAAGGUUUUAGGAUUGGAAACUCCUUUUGUUAGAGAAGAUUAUGACGGUAUCUAACGCAUAAGCACCGGCUAACUCCGUGCCAGCAGCCGGGGUAAUACGGCGGGAGCAAGCGUUACUCGGAAUCAAUGGGCGUAAAGGGUUCGUAUGCGGGGUAAUAAGUCAGAUGUGAAAUCCUGGAGCCUAAAUCCAGAACUGCAUUUGAAACUGGUACGCUGGAGUGUGAGAGAGGUAGGUGGAAUUCUCGGUGUAGGGGUAAAAUGCGUAGAGAUCAAGAGGAAUACUCAUUGCGAAGGCGGCGUGCUGGAACAUUACUGACGCUGAGGCACGAAAGCGUGGGGAGCGAACAGGAUUAGAUACCCUAGUAGUC
Molecule: ribosomal RNA, 440 nt
Filed under: uncultured bacterium
Lineage: Bacteria
Description: partial 16S ribosomal RNA
Rfam family: Bacterial small subunit ribosomal RNA
Source: RNAcentral